This is a non-coding RNA of Pelobates cultripes (western spadefoot toad), 363 nucleotides long. NCBI's taxonomy places the organism in Eukaryota, Metazoa, Chordata, Amphibia, Anura, Pelobatidae. The record is from the annotation of a GenBank genome assembly.
CUGCUUGACCCUCAAUACAAAGCCUUGUCUCAUAUUUGGGGGGGGAUUAUUCGUGUGUUUUCCUGUUCUGCACUUAGGAGUGUUCGGUAGUUGAUUUCGUAUUCGGAAGAGAACAUCUUUGGCGGCGUUAACCACUUCUAUACCUGGGGUGCCGUUACAGUGGCAAAUAGUUGGUAUUAUCCAGGAACAUUAUGUUGAAUUUGGUUGGAGUUAAAGGGGUUUGCAACAAACAAAGAGAUAAAGUCCAGUAUGAAUAAAGCAGGUUGGUUGAGUUGACUCCGGAAGUUGUAAAGUUGGUAUGCAAACAAGGUAAAAAACAAACAAAAAAAAAAACCAAUAAAGUCCAAUAUGAAAUAAAGCAGG